This is a long non-coding RNA of Oreochromis aureus, 292 nucleotides long. RefSeq lists it as uncharacterized. The transcript is spliced from 3 exons. NCBI's taxonomy places the organism in Eukaryota, Metazoa, Chordata, Actinopteri, Cichliformes, Cichlidae. The record is from RefSeq and is a predicted model, not a curated record.
CAAUCAUCACCUGCAGUAUAUUAGACCAGCGCUCACAACUAGUCCUUGCCAGAUUAUCUGCUAACCCAUGUGGUUCACAGAACCCACCUCUCCAAACUCACCAUACUCGCUUAUGUGGACACUGGUCUCUACUGUACUGCUGCUGUUUGUAAAAAAGCCUCAUUCAUCGUACCAUUCUCAGCUGCCUGCCUCCCUGCAAUUCAGCUUAGUGCGCCGGACUCACCUGGAUCUCUGCCUCUCGCCUUCCCCUCCUGCGAGCAAUGCCUUUGGUCAGCAACAGUUCCCCCCCCCC